GUUACUUUAUAUAUAUAUUGGAAGUGAUAGAUGUUAUAAUUACGUUCUAGGGUAUUUGAGGAUAUAAGUACAAACAUUUACCACCUUAUUCCAAAUGCAGGCAUAUUUUAUGUUAUAUUUUAUAUAUGUUACAAUUAUACCAGGUUACAGGUUUGUUUAUUGUCAUUCCUGAUCCCCGGACUGUGUGUCUGUGUAUGUGCGACUAGUCCCAGUGCACAGGUGGCCACGCCUUUAGGUCACAUUUUAUACAGUUGAUGGUCAGGACUAGUACGCCUUGCCGGUUUACAACCUAUCUAACUGUCUAACUAACAGUUAUUGUCAACUUGAGAGGCUAGCUUAGCUUGGUAGUCAGGCUACCUAGUGCGUGGGUGCUUAUUGUUUGUGUGAGUGCAAUAAAAGUCCAUAAAGUUA
This is a long non-coding RNA of Gadus macrocephalus (Pacific cod), 411 nucleotides long. RefSeq lists it as uncharacterized. The record is from RefSeq and is a predicted model, not a curated record. Lineage: Eukaryota; Metazoa; Chordata; Actinopteri; Gadiformes; Gadidae. The transcript has 2 exons.